RNAcentral lists this ribosomal RNA (585 nucleotides) under Basileuterus culicivorus (golden-crowned warbler). RNAcentral's name for it is "partial 16S ribosomal RNA". It matches the Rfam family "Bacterial large subunit ribosomal RNA", at positions 1830 to 2620 of the family's 2925-position model. The record is from RNAcentral. Lineage: Eukaryota; Metazoa; Chordata; Aves; Passeriformes; Parulidae.
AUUAAACCAAAACAAGGUAUUGAAGGUGAUGCCUGCCCGGUGACUCACGUUCAACGGCCGCGGUAUCCUAACCGUGCAAAGGUAGCGCAAUCAAUUGUCCCAUAAAUCGAGACUAGUAUGAAUGGCUAAACGAGGUCUUAACUGUCUCUUACAGGCAAUCGGUGAAAUUGAUCUCCCUGUACAAAAGCAGGGAUAAGCCCAUAAGACGAGAAGACCCUGUGGAACUUUAAAAUCAGCAACCACCCUAAAAUACAUAUAAUCCUACUAGGUUUACUAACACAUUAGGAUGAUGGUCCGCAUUUUUCGGUUGGGGCGACCUUGGAGCAAAACAAAACCUCCAAAAACUAGACCACACCUCUAGACUGAGAGCAACUCCUCAACGUGCUAAUAGCACCCAGACCCAAUACAAUUGAUCAAUGGACCAAGCUACCCCAGGGAUAACAGCGCAAUCUCCUCCGAGAGUCCGUAUCGACGAGGAGGUUUACGACCUCGAUGUUGGAUCAGGACAUCCUAGUGGUGCAGCCGCUACUAAGGGUUCGUUUGUUCAACGAUUAACAGUCCUACGUGAUCUGAUUCCAGACCAGA